RNAcentral lists this ribosomal RNA (436 nucleotides) under uncultured Saccharofermentans sp. RNAcentral's name for it is "partial 16S ribosomal RNA". It matches the Rfam family "Bacterial small subunit ribosomal RNA", at positions 341 to 792 of the family's 1533-position model. Lineage: Bacteria; Bacillati; Bacillota; Clostridia; Eubacteriales; Oscillospiraceae. The record is from RNAcentral.
ACGGGAGGCAGCAGUGGGGAAUAUUGGGCAAUGGGCGCAAGCCUGACCCAGCAACGCCGCGUGAAGGAUGGAGGUCUUCGGAUUGUAAACUUCUUUAAUCGGGGAAGAAAAAAAUGACCUACCCGAAGAAUAAGCCACGGCUAACUACGUGCCAGCAGCCGCGGUAAUACGUAGGUGGCAAGCGUUAUCCGGAUUUACUGGGUGCAAAGGGCGUGUAGGCGGCUCUGCAAGUCAGAAGUGAAAUUCCCGGGCUCAACCUGGGCGCUGCUUCUGAAACUGCAGAACUUGAGUACUGGAGGGGAAAGCGGAAUUCCUAGUGUAGCGGUAAAAUGCGCAGAUAUUAGGAGGAACACCAGUGGCGAAGGCGGCUUUCUGGACUGUAACUGACGUUGAGGCACGAAAGUGUGGGGAGCAAACAGGAUUAGAUACCCUGGUA